AGGACGAACGCUGGCGGCGUGCUUAACACAUGCAAGUCGAACGAUGAUGCCCAGCUUGCUCUGUGGAUUAGUGGCGAACGGGUGAGUAACACGUGAGUAACCUGCCCUUGACUCUGGGAUAAGCACUGGAAACGGUGUCUAAUACCGGAUACGAGCUUCAGCCGCAUGGCUAGGAGUUGGAAAGAAUUUCGGUCAAGGAUGGACUCGCGGCCUAUCAGGUAGUUGGUGAGGUAAUGGCCCACCAAGCCUACGACGGGUAGCCGGCCUGAGAGGGUGACCGGCCACACUGGGACUGAGACACGGCCCAGACUCCUACGGGAGGCAGCAGUGGGGAAUAUUGCACAAUGGGCGCAAGCCUGAUGCAGCAACGCCGCGUGAGGGACGACGGCCUUCGGGUUGUAACCUCUUUAGUAGGAGAAGCGAAAGUGACGGUACUGCAGAAAAGCACCGGCUAACUACGCGCCAGCAGCCGCGGU
Molecule: ribosomal RNA, 476 nt
Filed under: uncultured bacterium
Lineage: Bacteria
Description: SSU rRNA
Rfam family: Bacterial small subunit ribosomal RNA
Source: RNAcentral